GACGAACGCUGGCGGCGUGCUUAACACAUGCAAGUCGAACGGAAAGGCCCUGCUUUUGUGGGGUGCUCGAUUGGCGAACGGGUGAGUAACACGUGAGUAACCUGCCCUUGACUUUGGGAUAACUUCAGGAAACUGGGGCUAAUACCGGAUAGGAUCUCCUGCUGCAUGGUGGGGGUUGGAAAGUUUCGGCGGUUGGGGAUGGUCUCGCGGCUUAUCAGCUUGUUGGUGGGGUAGUGGCUUACCAAGGCUUUGACGGGUAGCCGGCCUGAGAGGGUGACCGGCCACAUUGGGACUGAGAUACGGCCCAGACUGCUACGGGAGGCAGCAGUGGGGAAUAUUGCACAAUGGGCGGAAGCCUGAUGCAGCAACGCCGCGUGCGGGAUGACGGCCUUCGGGUUGUAAACCGCUUUCGCCUGUGACGAAGCGUGAGUGACGGUAAUGGGUAAAGAAGCACCGGCUAACUACGUG
Molecule: ribosomal RNA, 468 nt
Filed under: uncultured bacterium
Lineage: Bacteria
Description: partial 16S ribosomal RNA
Rfam family: Bacterial small subunit ribosomal RNA
Source: RNAcentral